This 443-nucleotide ribosomal RNA is filed under the name uncultured bacterium. RNAcentral describes it as "partial 16S ribosomal RNA". It matches the Rfam family "Bacterial small subunit ribosomal RNA", at positions 338 to 795 of the family's 1533-position model. The record is from RNAcentral.
CCUACGGUGAGCAGCAGUGGGGAAUAUUGGACAAUGGGGGGAACCCUGAUCCAGCGACGCCGCGUGAGUGAAGAAGUAUUUCGGUAUGUAAAGCUCUAUCAGCAGGGAAGAAAGAAAUGACGGUACCUGACUAAGAAGCCCCGGCUAACUACGUGCCAGCAGCCGCGGUAAUACGUAGGGGGCAAGCGUUAUCCGGAUUUACUGGGUGUAAAGGGAGCGUAGACGGCGAUGCAAGUCUGAAGUGAAAGGCGGGGGCCCAACCCCCGGACUGCUUUGGAAACUGUAUGGCUGGAGUGCAGGAGAGGUAAGUGGAAUUCCUAGUGUAGCGGUGAAAUGCGUAGAUAUUAGGAGGAACACCAGUGGCGAAGGCGGCUUACUGGACUGUAACUGACGUUGAGGCUCGAAAGCGUGGGGAGCAAACAGGAUUAGAUACCCCAGUAGUC